RNAcentral lists this ribosomal RNA (460 nucleotides) under uncultured bacterium. RNAcentral describes it as "partial 16S ribosomal RNA". It matches the Rfam family "Bacterial small subunit ribosomal RNA", at positions 338 to 795 of the family's 1533-position model. The record is from RNAcentral.
CCUACGGGAGGCAGCAGUGAGGAAUAUUGGUCAAUGGCCGUAAGGCUGAACCAGCCAAGUCGCGUGAAGGAAGAAGGAUCUAUGGAUUGUAAACUUCUUUUAUAGGGGAAUAAAGGUAUCCACGUGUGGCUAUUUGCAUGUACCCUAUGAAUAAGCAUCGGCUAACUCCGUGCCAGCAGCCGCGGUAAUACGGAGGAUGCGAGCGUUAUCCGGAUUUAUUGGGUUUACAGGGUGCGUAGGUUGUUGUUUAAGUCAGCGGUGAAAGUUUGUGGCUCAACCAUAAAAUUGCCGUUGAAACUGGAAGACUUGAGUGUGUUUGAGGUAGGCGGAAUGCGUGGUGUAGCGGUGAAAUGCAUAGAUAUCACGCAGAACUCCGAUUGCGAAGGCAGCUUACUAAGCCAUAACUGACACUGAAGCACGAAAGCGUGGGGAUCAAACAGGAUUAGAUACCCUUGUAGUC